This 94-nucleotide non-coding RNA is filed under the name [Lactobacillus] rogosae. RNAcentral describes it as "Lactobacillus rogosae GEMM cis-regulatory element". It matches the Rfam family "c-di-GMP-I riboswitch aptamer". Rfam says of the family: GEMM was predicted in a large-scale screen for bacterial structured RNA regulatory elements. Genes associated with GEMM are involved in a diverse array of functions, including chemotaxis regulation, signal transduction, secretion and chitin. The record is from RNAcentral. Lineage: Bacteria; Bacillati; Bacillota; Clostridia; Lachnospirales; Lachnospiraceae.
UUAAUAUUUUAGCAAAGCAGUUGAAAAGCUGUGACGCAAAGCCAAAGGGUCCUCACCUUUAUAGCAGUAUUUAUAUGGCAGCCUGGUAACACCA